GACGUAGGGCGCGAGCGUUGUCCGGAUUUAUUGGGCGUAAAGAGCUCGUAGGCGGCUUGUCGCGUCGUCCGUGAAAACCCACAGCUCAACUGUGGGCUUGCGGUCGAUACGGGCAGGCUAGAGUUCGGUAGGGGAGACUGGAAUUCCUGGUGUAGCGGUGAAAUGCGCAGAUAUCAGGAGGAACACCGGUGGCGAAGGCGGGUCUCUGGGCCGAUACUGACGCUGAGGGGCGAAAGCGUGGGGAGCGAACAGG
Molecule: ribosomal RNA, 253 nt
Filed under: uncultured bacterium
Lineage: Bacteria
Description: partial 16S ribosomal RNA
Rfam family: Bacterial small subunit ribosomal RNA
Source: RNAcentral